RNAcentral lists this ribosomal RNA (433 nucleotides) under uncultured bacterium. RNAcentral describes it as "bacterial SSU rRNA". It matches the Rfam family "Bacterial small subunit ribosomal RNA", at positions 83 to 504 of the family's 1533-position model. The record is from RNAcentral.
CAGGCCCUAAAAGCGGCGGACUGGUGAGUAACGCGUGGGUGACCUACCCUCAGGCCGGGGAUAGCCGUUAGAACAUAGCGGGUAAUACCGAAUACGCUUGUAUAGCUGAGGUUAUGCAAGGAAAGAGGCUACGGCCCGCCCCCGGACGGGCCCGCGUCCCAUUAGCUGGUUGGGGGUGUAAAGGACCACCGAGGCGAAGAUGGGUAGCCGGCCUGAGAGGGCGAACGGCACACUGGGACUGAGAUACGGCCCAGACUCCUACGGGAGGCAGCAGCUAAGAAUAUUCCGCAAUGGACGAAAGUCUGACGGAGCGACGCCGCGUGGAUGAGGAAGGCCGGAAGGUUGUAAAAUCCUUUAUGCGGGCGAAGAAGAAGGCGAGGAGGGAAUGCCUUGCCGGUGACGCCGGCCCGCAGAAUAAGCCCCGGCUAAUUAC